Long non-coding RNA from Oreochromis aureus, 1244 nucleotides. RefSeq lists it as uncharacterized. Lineage: Eukaryota; Metazoa; Chordata; Actinopteri; Cichliformes; Cichlidae. The record is from RefSeq and is a predicted model, not a curated record. The transcript is spliced from 3 exons.
UUUAAUGCUUAGUUAAAAUAAAAUUCUAGCAUCUAUCUAAAUACUGGCUAUUACAGCCUCAACACUGCAUUUAAUCAUCACCCUUCACUUUAAUAACACUCUGGAUGUUGUUCUGACAUAUUUACUACAGAAUGAACACUUAAAAACAUUCUCUGAAAACCCCCUUUGUCCGAUCAUUUCUUAAUAUUAUUGAAAUAUACAGUAAAGGAUUUCAUGGCAGUGGGGAAUGCAUUUCAUUACAGUAGAUGUCUUUCUGAAAGUGCUGUAAGUAUGUUUGAGGUAAUAAUUCCUCCACUGUUAUCUUAUUCAAUGCGGAGCAGUUACCUAUACUCACACAGGUAAUGAGGUAGUGUUACUGAGGUAGUGGUUUUACACUACUUACCAUUAUAAGAUAAUGCGUUGAUUAAAUCAGCAAUAAUCCAAGAGAGAGAUACUGGAUUAACUGGGUCUGGGGGCGGAUUGCCCCUCUGGGUGGGAGGGUACCUGGACCUGGGGUAUAGAGUAUGUUUGGGGAGUGUAAGUGUGUGUACAGUGUCCAUUUGUGUCUGUCUUCACGUUGGGUGAGUGCUGAGUAUUUGUAUAUGUUUGCAUGAGGGUGGGAAUGCAUCUUUGUGUCUGUGUGUGCCUGUUUGUCUAUGUGUCAGGACGGGUCUUAGACACCACCUCUCCGUGAACAUCUCCGGCCCCCGGGGGGCCUAUCUCCCCCUACUACACUCCCUGCCGGUGGCUGAUGCCCUCAGCCAUCGGUGCAUUGGUUUUCGGUGUCCUGGGCUGGGAGCUCAGUUAUGUACUGGCUCGCUCCCAGUGGCUGCUUGGUGGGCCCUAGCACCUGUGGCUCCAUCGGGCCCCUUCCGGGGGAUGGGGGGGGCCUCGGACGUCUGGGCCAGGGGCUUGGUCCGCUCUGGCACAGCUGGCUGCCGGCAGAACCUGCAGGCACGUUGCCGCAGCCCGCUGUGGCUUCUGCAUUGUGGCUGCUGGAUGACCUCCCGUCUGGGGCUCUCCUCAGCUCUUUCCAGGAGGGUGGCGCGGCUGUAAAGCUCCACUUUGAAGAUUUCUGUAACCUGAAAGAGAAUACGCACAUGCCUGUCUGUUCUCCACUUCUGUUCCCUUCUUGUGUGUGCGAACUCGCCUGCCCCCACCCAAGCUCACGCCUCCUUUGGUAAAUUCCUGUUAGACCCAGUAAGCUGAAGAACUCAUCAUCGUAGUAUUCGUUUCUCUUUUGUAAAUAAAGUUUUUCUGCAAAU